RNAcentral lists this unclassified non-coding RNA (221 nucleotides) under uncultured Tomentella. RNAcentral's name for it is "sequence contains ITS2". The record is from RNAcentral. Lineage: Eukaryota; Fungi; Basidiomycota; Agaricomycetes; Thelephorales; Thelephoraceae.
ACACCUCAACUCUUCAUGGUUCUCCAUGAUGAGCUUGGACUUUGGGGGUCUUGCUGGCCUGCGGUCGGCUCCUCUCAAAUGAAUCAGCUUGCCAGUGUUUGGUGGGCAUCACAAGUGUGAUAACUAUCUACGCUCGUGGUUUUCCACCAAGUAACCUUCAGCAGUGGAGGUUCGCUGGAGCUCACAGAUGUUCUCUCCUCAGUGAGGACAGCCCUUUGAAC